Molecule: ribosomal RNA, 530 nt
Filed under: Bifidobacterium breve
Lineage: Bacteria; Bacillati; Actinomycetota; Actinomycetes; Bifidobacteriales; Bifidobacteriaceae
Description: bacterial SSU rRNA
Rfam family: Bacterial small subunit ribosomal RNA
Source: RNAcentral
CGGGUGGUAAUGCCGGAUGCUCCAUCACACCGCAUGGUGUGUUGGGAAAGCCUUUGCGGCAUGGGAUGGGGUCGCGUCCUAUCAGCUUGAUGGCGGGGUAACGGCCCACCAUGGCUUCGACGGGUAGCCGGCCUGAGAGGGCGACCGGCCACAUUGGGACUGAGAUACGGCCCAGACUCCUACGGGAGGCAGCAGUGGGGAAUAUUGCACAAUGGGCGCAAGCCUGAUGCAGCGACGCCGCGUGAGGGAUGGAGGCCUUCGGGUUGUAAACCUCUUUUGUUAGGGAGCAAGGCACUUUGUGUUGAGUGUACCUUUCGAAUAAGCACCGGCUAACUACGUGCCAGCAGCCGCGGUAAUACGUAGGGUGCAAGCGUUAUCCGGAAUUAUUGGGCGUAAAGGGCUCGUAGGCGGUUCGUCGCGUCCGGUGUGAAAGUCCAUCGCUUAACGGUGGAUCCGCGCCGGGUACGGGCGGGCUUGAGUGCGGUAGGGGAGACUGGAAUUCCCGGUGUAACGGUGGAAUGUGUAGAUAU